CUGGUCUGUAUCAAAAGACAGAAUCUUGAUGACUAAGACAUUUUCUUUGGGUUUGAAGUCUCCAGAGCAGCAAAGAGAGUGGGGAGUAGAACUCAUCAUCUUUAGGUCACUCAGCAUCGA
RNAcentral lists this long non-coding RNA (120 nucleotides) under Mus musculus (house mouse). RNAcentral's name for it is "predicted gene, 57913". Lineage: Eukaryota; Metazoa; Chordata; Mammalia; Rodentia; Muridae. The record is from RNAcentral.